CAGUAGCCGCGGGAAUACGUAGGUGGCAAGCGUUGUCCGGAAUUAUUGGGCGUAAAGCGCGCGCAGGCGGUUUCUUAAGUCUGAUGUGAAAGCCCACGGCUCAACCGUGGAGGGUCAUUGGAGACUGUUAAACUUGAGUGCAGGAGAGAAAAGUGGAAUUCCUAGUGUAGCGGUGAAAUGCGUAGAGAUGUGGAGGAACACCAGUGGCGAAGGCUACUCUCUGGUCUGUAACUGACGCUGAGGAGCGAAAGCGUGGGGAGCGAACAGGAUUAGAUACCCCAGUAGUCCCUGUCUCUUAUAU
This 301-nucleotide ribosomal RNA is filed under the name uncultured bacterium. Its description in RNAcentral is "partial 16S ribosomal RNA". It matches the Rfam family "Bacterial small subunit ribosomal RNA", at positions 509 to 809 of the family's 1533-position model. The record is from RNAcentral.